GAUGAACGCUAGCGGGAGGCUUAACACAUGCAAGUCGAGGGGCAGCAUAGGGUAGCAAUACUCUGAUGGCGACCGGCAGACGGGUGAGUAACGCGUAUGCAACCUACCCUGUACAGGGGGAUAACCCGGAGAAAUUCGGACUAAUAUCCCGUAAUAAUAUCCGGAGGCAUCUUUGGAUAUUUAAAGUUUCGACGGUACGGGAUGGGCAUGCGUAACAUUAGCUGGUUGGUAAGGUAACGGCUUACCAAGGCUAUGAUGUUUAGGGGUCCUGAGAGGGUGGUCCCCCACACUGGUACUGAGACACGGACCAGACUCCUACGGGAGGCAGCAGUGAGGAAUAUUGGUCAAUGGGCGCAAGCCUGAACCAGCCAUCCCGCGUGCAGGAAGACGGCCCUAUGGGUUGUAAACUGCUUUUCCAGGGAGAGAAACUUACGCACGUGUUGCGUGACUGACGGUACCCUGGGAAUAAGCAUCGGCUAACUCCGUG
RNAcentral lists this ribosomal RNA (487 nucleotides) under uncultured bacterium. RNAcentral describes it as "bacterial SSU rRNA". It matches the Rfam family "Bacterial small subunit ribosomal RNA", at positions 28 to 507 of the family's 1533-position model. The record is from RNAcentral.